RNAcentral lists this ribosomal RNA (206 nucleotides) under uncultured bacterium. RNAcentral's name for it is "partial 16S ribosomal RNA". It matches the Rfam family "Bacterial small subunit ribosomal RNA", at positions 568 to 774 of the family's 1533-position model. The record is from RNAcentral.
UGCGUAGGUGGCCUUUUAAGUUGGAUGUGAAAUACCCGGGCUUAACUUGGGGGUGCAUCUAAUACUGGGAGGCUAGAGUGCAGGAGAGGGAAGCGGAAUUCCUAGUGUAGCGGUGAAAUGCGUAGAUAUUAGGAGGAACACCAGUGGCGAAGGCGGCUUUCUGGACUGUAACUGACACUGAGGCACGAAAGCGUGGGGAGCAAACA